Molecule: ribosomal RNA, 253 nt
Filed under: uncultured bacterium
Lineage: Bacteria
Description: partial 16S ribosomal RNA
Rfam family: Bacterial small subunit ribosomal RNA
Source: RNAcentral
UACGAAGGGGGCUAGCGUUGCUCGGAAUCACUGGGCGUAAAGGGUGCGUAGGCGGGUCUUUAAGUCAGGGGUGAAAUCCUGGAGCUCAACUCCAGAACUGCCUUUGAUACUGAAGAUCUUGAGUUCGGGAGAGGUGAGUGGAACUGCGAGUGUAGAGGUGAAAUUCGUAGAUAUUGGGAAGAACACCGGUGGCGGAGGCGGCGCUCUGGACCGAGACUGACGCUGAGGCGCGAAAGCGUGGGGAGCAAACAGG